ACGAACGCUGGCGGCAUGCCUAACACAUGCAAGUCGAACGAGACCUUCGGGUCUAGUGGCGCACGGGUGCGUAACACGUGGGAAUCUGCCCUUGGGUUCGGAAUAACAGUUGGAAACGACUGCUAAUACCGGAUGAUGACGUAAGUCCAAAGAUUUAUCGCCCAAGGAUGAGCCCGCGUCGGAUUAGCUAGUUGGUGGGGUAAAGGCCUACCAAGGCUACGAUCCGUAACCGGCCUGAGAGGGCGGUCGGUCACACUGACACUGACAUACGGGUCAGACUCCUACGGGAGGCAGCAGUCGGGAAUUUUGGGCAAUGGGCGAAAGCCUGACCCAGCAACGCCGCGUGAAGGAUGAAAUCCCUCGGGAUGUAAACUUCGCAAGAAUGGGAAGAAUAAGUAGGGGACAAUACCCCCUAUGAUGACGGUACCGUUUGUAAGCUCCGGCUAACUCCGUGCCAGCCGCCGCGGUAAU
Molecule: ribosomal RNA, 471 nt
Filed under: uncultured bacterium
Lineage: Bacteria
Description: bacterial SSU rRNA
Rfam family: Bacterial small subunit ribosomal RNA
Source: RNAcentral